GGUGGUUCUCGGGUAACACACCCCGCAAACGGGCUCCCUCCUCUCUGGUUCCUGGUGCAUCACCCAAGAACCGCA
This is a non-coding RNA of Myotis lucifugus (little brown bat), 75 nucleotides long. The record is from Rfam. Lineage: Eukaryota; Metazoa; Chordata; Mammalia; Chiroptera; Vespertilionidae.